GAGGUGGUAGAGGAGCGGUAGAGAGGUGCUUGCACCUCUUGAGAGCGGCGGACGGGUGAGUAAAGCCUAGGAGUCUGCCUGGUAGUGGGGGAUAACGCUCGGAAACGGACGCUAAUACCGCAUACGUCCUACGGGAGAAAGCAGGGGACCUUCGGGCCUUGCGCUAUCAGAUGAGCCUAGGUCGGAUUAGCUAGUUGGUGAGGUAAUGGCUCACCAAGGCGACCAUCCGUAGGUGGUCUGAGAGGAUGAUCAGUCACACUGGAACUGAGACACGGUCCAGACUCCUACGGGAGGCAGCAGUGGGGAAUAUUGGACAAUGGGCGAAAGCCUGAUCCAGCCAUGCCGCGUGUGUGAAGAAGGUCUUCGGAUUGUAAAGCAGUUUAAGUUGGGAGGAAGGGCAUUAACCUAAUACGUUAGUGUUUUGACGUUACCGACAGAAUAAGCACCGGCCAACUCUGUGCCAGCAGCCGCGGUAAUACCGAGGGUGCAAGCGUUAAUCGGAAUUACUGGGCGUAAAGCGCGCGUAGGUGGUUCGUUAAGUUGGAUGUGAAAUCCCCGCGGCUCAACCUGGGAACUGCAUUCAAAACUGUCGAGCUAGAGUAUGGUAGAGGGUGGUGGAAUUUCCUGUGUAGCGGUCAAAUGCGUUAUAUAGGAAGGAAC
RNAcentral lists this ribosomal RNA (660 nucleotides) under Pseudomonas brassicacearum. RNAcentral describes it as "bacterial SSU rRNA". It matches the Rfam family "Bacterial small subunit ribosomal RNA", at positions 52 to 707 of the family's 1533-position model. Lineage: Bacteria; Pseudomonadati; Pseudomonadota; Gammaproteobacteria; Pseudomonadales; Pseudomonadaceae. The record is from RNAcentral.